This 217-nucleotide ribosomal RNA is filed under the name uncultured bacterium. RNAcentral describes it as "partial 16S ribosomal RNA". It matches the Rfam family "Bacterial small subunit ribosomal RNA", at positions 524 to 739 of the family's 1533-position model. The record is from RNAcentral.
UACAGAGGGGGCAAGCGUUGUUCGGAAUUACUGGGCGUAAAGGGCGCGUAGGCGGCCUGUUAAGUCGAACGUGAAAUCCCCGGGCUCAACCCGGGAACUGCGUCCGAUACUGGCAGGCUUGAAUCCGGGAGAGGGAUGCGGAAUUCCAGGUGUAGCGGUGAAAUGCGUAGAUAUCUGGAGGAACACCGGUGGCGAAGGCGGCGAUCCUGGACCGGCA